Molecule: small RNA, 1606 nt
Filed under: Pongo abelii (Sumatran orangutan)
Lineage: Eukaryota; Metazoa; Chordata; Mammalia; Primates; Hominidae
Description: processed transcript
Source: RNAcentral
AAUGGGCGUCUUUCCCAGACCACCAUGAGGGCCAGCGUUCCUGCUCAGCUGUGAAUGCUGCUGUGGUUAUGGCUGCUGCUUGGCUUAGGUGUGAAUGAGCCCAGGGAAGGACACACGGCCACUGCUGGAGGGAUCCUCCAUUCCUGUGUCAUUUGCAUGGGUCCUGCUGUGAAAUGAACCUGGCAGGGACUUGUUAGACACUUCCUUCCUUCCCUCAUUGAGCACUCCAGCACCAUUGUUCCACAGUUGUUCUAAUCGGGUCCUAGCUUCCUCCUGCCAAGGCAAACAGCAUAGUCUCGAGUAGGUGUCCCUAGGCUCAUCUGCCAGCCUGAACAUGAACACAGGCAAAGCUGAUGAUGGCCAGGGACCCCAGGGGACAUGGGGCCCUGUGGGGUCCGGCCCCCAGGAGCAAGACCUCUCAUGAUGCUGGUGUCUGGGAGUGAGCACCAUGCCCAUCACCCAGGACAAUGCCGUGUUGCACCUCCCCCUCCUCUACCAGUGGCUGCAGAACAGCCUGCGGGAAGGUGGGGAUGGGCCGGAGCAGCGGCUCUGCCAGGCGGCCAUCCAGAAGCUGCAGGAGUACAUCCAGCUGAACUUUGCUGUGGAUGAGAGUACGGUCCCACCUGAUCAUAGUCCCCCUGAAAUGGAGAUCUGUACUGUGUACCUCACCAAGGAGCUGGGGGACACAGAGACUGUGGGCCUGAGUUUUGGGAACAUCCCUGUUUUCGGGGACUAUGGUGAAAAGCGCAGGGGGGGCAAGAAGAGGAAAACCCACCAGGGUCCUGUGCUGGAUGUGGGCUGCAUCUGGGUGACAGAGCUGAGGAAGAACAGCCCAGCAGGGAAGAGUGGGAAGGUCCGACUGCGGGAUGAGAUCCUGUCACUGAAUGGGCAGCUGAUGGUUGGAGUUGAUGUCAGUGGGGCCAGAUGGAGUCUUGCUGUGUCACCCAGGCUGGAGUGCAGUGGCACAAUUUCGGCUCACUGCAACCUCCACCUCGUGAGUUCAAGCAGCUCUCCUGCCUCAGCCUCCCAAGUAGCUGGGAUUACAGGUUCCCACCACAAUGCCCGGCUAAUUUUUGUAUUUUUUAGUAGAGAUGGGGUUUCACCAUGUUGGCCAGGCUGGUCUCAAAUUCCUGACCUCAAGUGUUCGCCUGCCUUAGCCUCCCAAAGUGCUGGGAUUACAGGCAUGAGCCACCACGCCCAGCCGUUAACAACUUUUUUCUUGAUCUCAUCACGUCCUUCAUUGCAUGUUAACCAGCCUGCCUGAGUUUCCACCAGAUCUUGCUUGCUAGCCUGGUCUCCCCCACAGUGUUCCAUGUGUAAACUGGAAAGUAGUCAUAAGAGGGUCACAGCCCCCCUCAUACCCUUCCCCCGCAGACAUGCAUUUAUAAAUGGGCUAAACUCCACCCUCCUUGGGGUUAAAGUGAGGUGGGCCCUUUGUACAGCGCCACGUGUAAACAGUGUGGCUUUUGAGAUGGCCCCUAAAGCCUGGAGAGGAAGCCACGUUUUUAAUUUGUGAGAAAAUUAUUCAAGGUUCUAUCUGGUCCUUUGCUUUUCCCAACUAGGAGCUUUUUCAGCUGAUGGAGAACAGUGGUGGACCAGAUAAGAU